Molecule: ribosomal RNA, 298 nt
Filed under: uncultured Sphingomonadaceae bacterium
Lineage: Bacteria; Pseudomonadati; Pseudomonadota; Alphaproteobacteria; Sphingomonadales; Sphingomonadaceae
Description: partial 16S ribosomal RNA
Rfam family: Bacterial small subunit ribosomal RNA
Source: RNAcentral
UAACGCGUGGGAAUCUGCCCUGGAGUGGGGGAUAACCGAGGGAAACCUCGGCUAAUACCGCAUACGUCCUGAGGGAGAAAGAUUUAUCGCUCUAGGAGGGGCCCGCGUCGGAUUAGCUUGUUGGUGGGGUAACGGCCUACCAAGGCGAUGAUCCGUAGCUGGUCUGAGAGGAUGAUCAGCCACACUGGGACUGAGACACGGCCCAGACUCCUACGGGAGGCAGCAGUGGGGAAUAUUGGACAAUGGGCGCAAGCCUGAUCCAGCAAUGCCGCGUGAGUGAUGAAGGCCUUAGGGUUGU